GCCUUCGUAGUGUAGCGGUCAGCACGCUCGACGCGUAACCGAGAGGUCCGUGGUUCGAUUCCCGGCGAAGGCG
This 73-nucleotide transfer RNA is filed under the name Stegodyphus mimosarum. It matches the Rfam family "tRNA". Rfam says of the family: Transfer RNA (tRNA) molecules are approximately 80 nucleotides in length. Their secondary structure includes four short double-helical elements and three loops (D, anti-codon, and T loops). Lineage: Eukaryota; Metazoa; Arthropoda; Arachnida; Araneae; Eresidae. The record is from Rfam by way of RNAcentral.